AGUGAACGCUGGCGGUAGGCCUAACACAUGCAAGUCGAACGGCAGCACAGUAAGAGCUUGCUCUUACGGGUGGCGAGUGGCGGACGGGUGAGGAAUACAUCGGAAUCUACUUUUUCGUGGGGGAUAACGUAGGGAAACUUACGCUAAUACCGCAUACGACCUACGGGUGAAAGCAGGGGAUCUUCGGACCUUGCGCGAUUGAAUGCGCCGAUGUCGGAUUAGCUAGUUGGCGGGGUAAAGGCCCACCAAGGCGACGAUCCGUAGCUGGUCUGAGAGGAUGAUCGGCCACACUGGAAGUGAGACACGGUCCAGACUCCUACGGGAGGCAGCAGUGGGGAAUAUUGGACAAUGGGCGCAAGCCUGAUCCAGCCAUACCGCGUGGGUGAAGAAGGCCUUCGGGUUGUAAAGCCCUUUUGUUGGGAAAGAAAAGCAGCAGGUUAAUACCCCGCUGUUCUGACGGUACCCAAAGAAUAAGCACCGGCUAACUUCGUG
RNAcentral lists this ribosomal RNA (492 nucleotides) under uncultured bacterium. RNAcentral describes it as "partial 16S ribosomal RNA". It matches the Rfam family "Bacterial small subunit ribosomal RNA", at positions 29 to 507 of the family's 1533-position model. The record is from RNAcentral.